AAUAAAGUGCCUGAUUAAAAGGGUUAUCUUGAUAGGAUAAAUCAUGUACACUUGUAUUUUUAUUA
This 65-nucleotide transfer RNA is filed under the name Lachesilla sp. LaspGHN. Its description in RNAcentral is "tRNA-Ile". Lineage: Eukaryota; Metazoa; Arthropoda; Insecta; Psocodea; Lachesillidae. The record is from RNAcentral.